GACGAACGCUGGCGGCGUGCUUAACACAUGCAAGUCGAACGGAAAGGCCCUGCUUUUGUGGGGUGCUCGAGUGGCGAACGGGUGAGUAACACGUGAGUAACCUGCCCUUGACUUUGGGAUAACUUCAGGAAACUGGGGCUAAUACCGGAUAGGAGCUCCUGCUGCAUGGUGGGGGUUGGAAAGUUUCGGCGGUUGGGGAUGGACUGGCGGCUUAUCAGCUUGUUGGUGGGGUAGUGGCUUACCAAGGCUUUGACGGGUAGCCGGCCUGAGAGGGUGACCGGCCACAUUGGGACUGAGAUACGGCCCAGACUCAUACGGGGGGCAGCAGUGGGGAAUAUUGCACAAUGGGCGGAAGCCUGAUGCAGAAACGCCGCGUGCGGGAUGACGGCCUUCGGGUUGUAAAACGCUUUAGCCUGUGACGAAGCGUGAGUGACGGUAAUGGGUAAAGAAGCACCGGCUAACUACGUG
This 468-nucleotide ribosomal RNA is filed under the name uncultured bacterium. RNAcentral describes it as "partial 16S ribosomal RNA". It matches the Rfam family "Bacterial small subunit ribosomal RNA", at positions 28 to 507 of the family's 1533-position model. The record is from RNAcentral.